This 434-nucleotide ribosomal RNA is filed under the name uncultured Clostridiales Family IV bacterium. RNAcentral describes it as "bacterial SSU rRNA". It matches the Rfam family "Bacterial small subunit ribosomal RNA", at positions 341 to 792 of the family's 1533-position model. The record is from RNAcentral. Lineage: Bacteria; Bacillati; Bacillota; Clostridia; Eubacteriales; Eubacteriales Family IV. Incertae Sedis.
ACGGAAGGCAGCAGUGGGGGAUAUUGCACAAUGGGGGAAACCCUGAUGCAGCAACGCCGCGUGAGGGAAGACGGUCUUCGGAUUGUAAACCUAAGUUGUCAGGGACGAUAAUGACGGUACCUGAAGAGAAAGCUCCGGCUAACUACGUGCCAGCAGCCGCGGUAAUACGUAGGGAGCGAGCGUUGUCCGGAUUUACUGGGUGUAAAGGGUGCGUAGGCGGGUCUGCAAGUCAGACGUGAAAUACCGGGGCUUAACUCCGGGGCUGCGUUUGAAACUGUGGAUCUUGAGUGAAGUAGAGGCAAGCGGAAUUCCUAGUGUAGCGGUGAAAUGCGUAGAUAUUAGGAGGAACACCAGUGGCGAAGGCGGCUUGCUGGGCUUUAACUGACGCUGAGGCACGAAAGCGUGGGGAGCAAACAGGAUUAGAUACCCUGGUA